UCAAACUUGGUCAUUUAGAGGAAGUAAAAGUCGUAACAAGGUUUCCGUAGGUGAACCUGCGGAAGGAUCAUUACUGUAGGGAUCUUACGAUCCCUGCUGAGAUAGAACCCUUUGUCUUUGUAUACCUCUGUUUCCUCGGUAGGUUCGCCUACCAGUGGGGACUAGCUAAACUCUUUUUAAGUGGUAGUAAAAGUCUAUUCUUGAAUAUCAAAACUUUCAACAACGGAUCUCUUGGUUCUGGCAUCGAUGAAGAACGCAGC
RNAcentral lists this unclassified non-coding RNA (260 nucleotides) under uncultured fungus. RNAcentral's name for it is "partial contains small subunit ribosomal RNA, internal transcribed spacer 1, and 5.8S ribosomal RNA". The stretch from base 1 to 73 matches the Rfam family "Eukaryotic small subunit ribosomal RNA", at positions 1759 to 1831 of the family's 1831-position model. The record is from RNAcentral. Lineage: Eukaryota; Fungi.